RNAcentral lists this non-coding RNA (2422 nucleotides) under Drosophila sechellia. Its description in RNAcentral is "Eukaryotic large subunit ribosomal RNA". It matches the Rfam family "Eukaryotic large subunit ribosomal RNA", at positions 1 to 2113 of the family's 3401-position model. The record is from Rfam by way of RNAcentral. Lineage: Eukaryota; Metazoa; Arthropoda; Insecta; Diptera; Drosophilidae.
CAACCUCAACUCAUAUGGGACUACCCCCUGAAUUUAAGCAUAUUAAUUAGGGGAGGAAAAGAAACUAACAAGGAUUUUCUUAGUAGCGGCGAGCGAAAAGAAAACAGUUCAGCACUAAGUCACUUUGUCUAUAUGGCAAAUGUGAGAUGCAGUGUAUGGAGCGUCAAUAUUCUAGUAUGAGAAAUUAAUGAUUUAAGUCCUUCUUAAAUGAGGCCAUUUACCCCUAGAGGGUGCCAGGCCCGUAUAACGUUAAUGAUUGCUAGAUGAUGUUUCCAAAGAGUCGUGUUGCUUGAUAGUGCAGCACUAAGUGGGUGGUAAACUCCAUCUAAAACUAAAUAUAACCAUGAGACCGAUAGUAGACAAGUACCGUGAGGGAAAGUUGAAAUGAACUCGGAAUAGAGAGUUAAACAGUACGUGAACCGGCUGAGAGGUUAAGCCCGAUGAACCUGAAUAUCCGUUAUGCAAAAUUCAUCAUUAAAAUUGUAAUAUUUAAAUAAUAUUAUUAAGAAUAAUGUGCAUUUUUUCCAUAUAAGGACAUUGUAAUCUAUUAGCAUAUCCCAAAUUUAUCAUAAAAUAUAACUUAUAGUUUAUUCCAAUUAAAUUGCUUGCAUAUUAACACAGAAUAAAUGUUAUUAAUAUGAUAAAGUGCUGAUAGAUUUAUAUUAUUACAGAGCGUUAAUUCUUCGGAAUUAUAUAAUGGCAUAAUUAUCAUUGAUUUUUGUGUUUAUUAUAUGCUCUUGUAUGAUUAACAAUGCGAAAGAUUCAGGAUACCUUCGGGACCCGUCUUGAAACACGGACCAAGGAGUCUAACAUAUGUGCAAGUUAUUGGGAUGUAAACCUAAUAGCGUAAUUAACUUGACUAAUAAUGGGAUUAGUUUUUUAGCUAUUUAUAGCUAAUUAACACAAUCCCGGGGCGUUCUAUAUAGUUAUGUAUAAUGUAUAUUUAUAUUAUUUAUGCCUCUAACUGGAACGUACCUUGAGCAUAUAUGCUGUGACCCGAAAGAUGGUGAACUAUACUUGAUCAGGUUGAAGUCAGGGGAAACCCUGAUGGAAGACCGAAACAGUUCUGACGUGCAAAUCGAUUGUCAGAAUUGAGUAUAGGGGCGAAAGACCAAUCGAACCAUCUAGUAGCUGGUUCCUUCCGAAGUUUCCCUCAGGAUAGCUGGUGCAUUUUAAUAUUAUAUAAAAUAAUCUUAUCUGGUAAAGCGAAUGAUUAGAGGCCUUAGGGUCGAAACGAUCUUAACCUAUUCUCAAACUUUAAAUGGGUAAGAACCUUAACUUUCUUGAUAUGAAGUUCAAGGUUAUGAUAUAAUGUGCCCAGUGGGCCACUUUUGGUAAGCAGAACUGGCGCUGUGGGAUGAACCAAACGUAAUGUUACGGUGCCCAAAUUAACAACUCAUGCAGAUACCAUGAAAGGCGUUGGUUGCUUAAAACAGCAGGACGGUGAUCAUGGAAGUCGAAAUCCGCUAAGGAGUGUGUAACAACUCACCUGCCGAAGCAACUAGCCCUUAAAAUGGAUGGCGCUUAAGUUGUAUACCUAUACAUUACCGCUAAAGUAGAUGAUUUAUAUUACUUGUGAUAUAAAUUUUGAAACUUUUAGUGAGUAGGAAGGUACAAUGGUAUGCGUAGAAGUGUUUGGCGUAAGCCUGCAUGGAGCUGCCAUUGGUACAGAUCUUGGUGGUAGUAGCAAAUAAUCGAAUGAGACCUUGGAGGACUGAAGUGGAGAAGGGUUUCGUGUGAACAGUGGUUGAUCACGAGUUAGUCGGUCCUAAGUUCAAGGCGAAAGCCGAAAAUUUUCAAGUAAAACAAAAAUGCCUAACUAUAUAAACAAAGCGAAUAUAAUACACUUGAAUAAUUUUGAACGAAAGGGAAUACGGUUCCAAUUCCGUAACCUGUUGAGUAUCCGUUUGUUAUUAAAUAUGGGCCUCGUGCUCAUCCUGGCAACAGGAACGACCAUAAAGAAGCCGUCGAGAGAUAUCGGAAGAGUUUUCUUUUCUGUUUUAUAGCCGUACUACCAUGGAAGUCUUUCGCAGAGAGAUAUGGUAGAUGGGCUAGAAGAGCAUGACAUAUACUGUUGUGUCGAUAUUUUCUCCUCGGACCUUGAAAAUUUAUGGUGGGGGACACGCAAACUUCUCAACAGGCCGUACCAAUAUCCGCAGCUGGGUCUCCAAGGUGAAGAGUCUCUAGUCGAUAGAAUAAUGUAGGUAAGGGAAGUCGGCAAAUUAGAUCCGUAACUUCGGGAUAAGGAUUGGCUCUGAAGAUUGAGAUAGUCGGGCUUGAUUGGGAAACAAUAACAUGGGUUUAUGUGCUCGUUCUGGGGUAAAUAGAGUUUCUAGCAUUUAUGUUAAUUUACUUUGUUCCCCCGGAUAGUUUAGUUACGUACCCAAAUUGUGGGAACUUUCCUGGCUAAAAAUUUUUAGAA